This 207-nucleotide ribosomal RNA is filed under the name uncultured bacterium. RNAcentral describes it as "partial 16S ribosomal RNA". It matches the Rfam family "Bacterial small subunit ribosomal RNA", at positions 568 to 774 of the family's 1533-position model. The record is from RNAcentral.
CGCGUAGGCGGCUUUGUAAGUCGGAUGUGAAAGCCCCGGGCUUAACCUGGGAAUUGCAUUCGAUACUGCAGAGCUAGAGUAUGGUAGAGGGAAGUGGAAUUCCGGGUGUAGCGGCGAAAUGCGUAGAUAUCCGGAGGAACACCAGUGGCGAAGGCGACUUCCUGGGCCAAUACUGACGCUGAGGUGCGAAAGCGUGGGGAGCAAACA